UGGGGAAUAUUGGACAAUGGGCGAAAGCCUGAUCCAGCCAUGCCGCGUGUGUGAAGAAGGUCUUCGGAUUGUAAAGCACUUUAAGUUGGGAGGAAGGGUUGUAGAUUAAUACUCUGCAAUUUUGACGUUACCGACAGAAUAAGCACCGGCUAACUCUGUGCCAGCAGCCGCGGUAAUACAGAGGGUGCAAGCGUUAAUCGGAAUUACUGGGCGUAAAGCGCGCGUAGGUGGUUAGGUAAGUUGGAUGUGAAAUCCCCGGGCGCAACCUGGGAACUGCAUUCAAAACUGACUGACUAGAGUAUGGUAGAGGGUGGUGGAAUUUCCUGUGUAGCGGUGAAAUGCGUAGAUAUAGGAAGGAACACCAGUGGCGAAGGCGACCACCUGGACUGAUACUGACACUGAGGUGCGAAAGCGUGGGGAGCAAACA
Molecule: ribosomal RNA, 427 nt
Filed under: uncultured bacterium
Lineage: Bacteria
Description: partial 16S ribosomal RNA
Rfam family: Bacterial small subunit ribosomal RNA
Source: RNAcentral